GACGAACGCUGGCGGCGUGCCUAAUACAUGCAAGUAGGACGCAGUUGCGAACGGGUGAGUAACGCGUAGGUAACUACCUAUUAGAGGGGGAUAAAUAUUGGAAACGAUAGCUAAUACCGCAUACUAGUAGAUGGACCUGCGUUGUAUUAGCUAGUAGGUAGGGUAAUGGCCUCCCUAGGCAACGAUACAUAGCCGACCUGGAGGGGUUGACGGGCAACAUGGGACUGGGGCACGGGCCAGACUCCUACGGGAGGCAGCAGUAGGGGAAUUUUGGAAAUGGGGGGAAACCUUACCGAGCAACGCCGCGGGAGUGGAGAAGGUUUUCGGGGCGGAAAGCUCUGUUGUGAAGGAAGCGGUACUUAACGAGGAAGGGACGGCUAACUACGUGCCAGCAGCCGCGGUAAUUC
RNAcentral lists this ribosomal RNA (407 nucleotides) under uncultured bacterium. RNAcentral's name for it is "partial 16S ribosomal RNA". It matches the Rfam family "Bacterial small subunit ribosomal RNA", at positions 28 to 526 of the family's 1533-position model. The record is from RNAcentral.